RNAcentral lists this transfer RNA (86 nucleotides) under chicken gut metagenome. It matches the Rfam family "tRNA". Rfam says of the family: Transfer RNA (tRNA) molecules are approximately 80 nucleotides in length. The record is from RNAcentral.
GAGAGAUGGCUGAGUGGUCGAAGGCGCACGAUUGGAAAUCGUGUGAACGUUAAUAGCGUUCCAUGGGUUCAAAUCCCAUUCUCUCC